RNAcentral lists this unclassified non-coding RNA (241 nucleotides) under plant metagenome. Its description in RNAcentral is "partial contains small subunit ribosomal RNA, internal transcribed spacer 1, and 5.8S ribosomal RNA". The stretch from base 193 to 241 matches the Rfam family "5.8S ribosomal RNA", at positions 1 to 49 of the family's 154-position model. The record is from RNAcentral.
UUUCCGUAGGUGAACCUGCGGAAGGAUCAUUAACACAACUUUACCCAAUCUUUUAUCACACACCCCAAAGCGAACGAUUGUUUGGAGAGAGAGUUUCGACUCUUUUUCCGCUUUUUUUUUUCAUUACAAACCCCAAUUUAACACUUCCGACUGAAACAAAAAACAAAAACAAAAAAACAAAAACUAAGAAACAACUCUUAGCAACGGAUAUCUUGGCUCUCGCAUCGAUGAAGAACGUAGC